RNAcentral lists this transfer RNA (79 nucleotides) under Anaerolineae bacterium. RNAcentral describes it as "tRNA-Pro". It matches the Rfam family "tRNA". From Rfam's summary of the family: Transfer RNA (tRNA) molecules are approximately 80 nucleotides in length. Their secondary structure includes four short double-helical elements and three loops (D, anti-codon, and T loops). Further hydrogen bonds mediate the characteristic L-shaped molecular structure. tRNAs have two regions of fundamental functional importance: the anti-codon, which is responsible for specific mRNA codon recognition, and the 3' end, to which the tRNAs corresponding amino acid is attached (by aminoacyl-tRNA synthetases). tRNAs cope with the degeneracy of the genetic code in two manners: having more than one tRNA (with a specific anti-codon) for a particular amino acid; and 'wobble' base-pairing, i.e. permitting non-standard base-pairing at the 3rd anti-codon position. The record is from RNAcentral. Lineage: Bacteria; Bacillati; Chloroflexota; Anaerolineae.
CGGGGCGUAGCGCAGCCAGGUUUAGCGCGCAGCGUUCGGGACGCUGAGGUCGGCGGUUCGAAUCCGCCCUCUCCGACCA